This 465-nucleotide ribosomal RNA is filed under the name uncultured bacterium. RNAcentral's name for it is "partial 16S ribosomal RNA". It matches the Rfam family "Bacterial small subunit ribosomal RNA", at positions 28 to 507 of the family's 1533-position model. The record is from RNAcentral.
GACGAACGCUGGCGGCGUGCUUAACACAUGCAAGUCGAACGGAAAGGCCCCUUUGGGGGUACUCGAGUGGCGAACGGGUGAGUAACACGUGAGUAACCUGCCCUUGACUUCGGGAUAACUUCAGGAAACUGGGGCUAAUACCGGAUAGGAAUCCUUGCUGCAUGGUGGGGGUUGGAAAGCUUCGGCGGUUUUGGAUGGACUCGCGGCUUAACAGCGUGUUGGUGGGGUAGUGGCUUACCAAGGCUUUGACGGGUAGCCGGCCUGAGAGGGCGACCGGCCGCCUUUGGACUGAGUGGCGGCCCCGAUUCCUACGGGACGCCGAAGUGGGGAAUCUUGCACGAGGGGCGGAGGCCGGAUGAAGCAGCGCCGCGGGCGGGAUGACGGCCUUCGGGUUGAAAACCGAAUUCAGCAGGGACGAAGCUUGUGGUGACGGUACCUGCAGAAGAAGCACCGGCUAACUACGUG